GGAUGUGAUGGGGAGCGAAAUUUAGUAGCGAAGUAGCUGAUUUCACACUGUCAAGAAAAGUCUCUAUCGAGGUUAAAGGUACCCGUACCGCAAACCGACACAGGUGGGUGAGGAGAGUAUCCUAAGGCCAGCGAGAGAACUGUUGUUAAGGAACUCGGCAAAAUGACCCCGUAACUUAGGGAUAAGGGGUGCCACCAUCAGGUGGCCGCAGAGAAUAGGCCCAAGCGACUGUUUACCAAAAACAUAGGUUUCUGCUAAGUCGCAAGACGAUGUAUAGGAGCUGACGCCUGCCCGGUGCUGGAAGGUUAAGGGGAUCUGUUAGAGCAAUCGAAGCAGUGAACUUAAGCCCCAGUAAACGGCGGCCGUAACUAUAACGGUCCUAAGGUAGCGAAAUUCCUUGUCGGGUAAGUUCCGACCCGCACGAAAGGCGUAACGAUUUGGGCACUGUCUCAACAACAGACUCGGUGAAAUUGUAAUUCCGGUGAAGAUGCCGGAUACCUGCGACAGGACGGAAAGACCCCAUGGAGCUUUACUGUAGCUUGACAUUGGGUCUUGGUACUACAUGUACAGGAUAGGUGGGAGGCUUUGAAACCAGGACGCCAGUUUUGGCGGAGCCAUCCUUGGGAUACCACCCUUGUAGUA
RNAcentral lists this ribosomal RNA (642 nucleotides) under Clostridioides difficile. Its description in RNAcentral is "partial 23S ribosomal RNA". It matches the Rfam family "Bacterial large subunit ribosomal RNA", at positions 1559 to 2213 of the family's 2925-position model. The record is from RNAcentral. Lineage: Bacteria; Bacillati; Bacillota; Clostridia; Peptostreptococcales; Peptostreptococcaceae.